CGUAGGGUGCGAGCGUUAAUCGGAAUUACUGGGCGUAAAGCGUGCGCAGGCGGUUUUGUAAGACAGGCGUGAAAUCCCCGGGCUCAACCUGGGAACUGCGCUUGUGACUGCAAGGCUAGAGUACGGCAGAGGGGGUGGAAUUCCACGUGUAGCAGUGAAAUGCGUAGAGAUGUGGAGGAACACCAAUGGCGAAGGCAGCCCCCUGGGUCGAUACUGACGCUCAUGCACGAAAGCGUGGGUAGCAAACAGGAUUAGAUACCCUGGUAGUCCACGCCUAAACGAUGUCAACUAGGUGUUGGGUGGGUAAAAACCAUUUAGUACCGGAGCUAACGCGUGAAGUUGACCGCCUGGGGAGUACGGCCGCAAAGGUUA
RNAcentral lists this ribosomal RNA (372 nucleotides) under uncultured organism. RNAcentral describes it as "bacterial SSU rRNA". It matches the Rfam family "Bacterial small subunit ribosomal RNA", at positions 526 to 896 of the family's 1533-position model. The record is from RNAcentral.